Molecule: transfer RNA, 75 nt
Filed under: Sutterella sp. CAG:397
Lineage: Bacteria; Pseudomonadati; Pseudomonadota; Betaproteobacteria; Burkholderiales; Sutterellaceae
Also listed under: 3 other names
Description: transfer RNA-Gln(TTG)
Rfam family: tRNA
About the family: Transfer RNA (tRNA) molecules are approximately 80 nucleotides in length.
Source: RNAcentral
AGGGGGGUAGCCAAGUGGUAAGGCAACGGAUUUUGAUUCCGUGUAUCGUAGGUUCGAAUCCUAUCCCCCCUGCCA